GAUAUCAAAGACAAAUGGCACAUAUUUGUGUCAUCUCUGUGAUCUCAUUUGUUCAUGCUUCAGAUGCUAGCGUGUACAUGUUGCAUUGUUCAUGCUUAAAACAUGAAAUCUUAGUUCAUCGCUAAUAGUGUCACAAGUGUUCACCGUUAUCAAGCGUCUCUUGCGACAUGUGGUCCUCAAUGGCUUGACCUCACUAUCUGAGAAGAGGCAUCCAAUGAUGGCGUAUAGUCACAUGGAUGUGGCGCUGUGGAUAUUCUGUUCUCCAUGCAGUUAUGCUUCGCUUCUUCAGUCCACUGCAAUUUGAUAUGACACCUAAUGGUGUAUUCUUUUUACUUUCUAUAUUAUGUUUCUUGUUUUCCCUCAAUCCUCUGUUUGUGAGGUGUGUGUGAUUCAGGGGACUCAUUUGUUAAACUAUUCGUUAUUGAAUACAAUCAGUGUUAAAAAAAAAAAAAAAAAAAAAUAUUCCUUAGAAAUUUUACCAUUCAUAAGGAAUAGUUUUCCCUUUCCAUUCCCUUUCAUUCCUUUUAUUGUAGAGAAAUAAUGAAUUAAUUUGUUCCUCGCUAAAUAUGAUAAGGAACCAUUAUUCCUCAUCAUUCCUAUAAUUUCAUUCUUUUUCGUUCCUUUUCUAUCCAUUCUCAGUGUUCUUGUAAUGGUUACCUGUUAGACCCGUUGUAUAUUAUAGUACAAAAUAGUUGAGAGAUCAGGAAUAUACUCUCGUAUCUACGUAAAUAUAAGUGAAUAAUAUCUUAACCAUACGCAAAUAGUUAUCUACAAG
This 775-nucleotide long non-coding RNA is filed under the name Brassica rapa (field mustard). RNAcentral's name for it is "long non-coding RNA (BRAP_LNC003826)". Lineage: Eukaryota; Viridiplantae; Streptophyta; Magnoliopsida; Brassicales; Brassicaceae. The record is from RNAcentral.